This 985-nucleotide ribosomal RNA is filed under the name Ilyonectria destructans. RNAcentral's name for it is "LSU rRNA". It matches the Rfam family "Eukaryotic large subunit ribosomal RNA", at positions 1 to 1035 of the family's 3401-position model. Lineage: Eukaryota; Fungi; Ascomycota; Sordariomycetes; Hypocreales; Nectriaceae. The record is from RNAcentral.
CUGCUGGUAAAGGUCAUUACGUAUUACUUUACUUACCGGAGGAAAAGAAACCAACAGGGAUUGCCCUAGUAACGGCGAGUGAAGCGGAACAGCUCAAAUUUGAAAUCUGGCCUUCGGGUCCGAGUUGUAAUUUGUAGAGGAUGCUUUGGGUGAGGUACCUUCCGAGUUCCCUGGAACGGGACGCCAUAGAGGGUGAGAGCCCCGUCUGGUUGGAUACCGAUCCUCUGUAAAGCUCCUUCGACGAGUCGAGUAGUUUGGGAAUGCUGCUCUAAAUGGGAGGUAUAUGUCUUCUAAAGCUAAAUAUUGGCCAGAGACCGAUAGCGCACAAGUAGAGUGAUCGAAAGAUGAAAAGCACUUUGAAAAGAGAGUUAAAAAGUACGUGAAAUUGUUGAAAGGGAAGCGCUCAUGACCAGACUUGGGCUUGGUUGAUCAUCCAGGGUUCUCCCUGGUGCACUCUUCCAGCUCAGGCCAGCAUCAGUUCGCUGUGGGGGAUAAAGGCUUCGGGAAUGUGGCUCCUCCGGGAGUGUUAUAGCCCGCUGCGUAAUACCCUGUGGUGGACUGAGGUUCGCGCAUCUGCAAGGAUGCUGGCAUAAUGGUCAUCAGCGACCCGUCUUGAAACACGGACCAAGGAGUCGUCUUCGUAUGCGAGUGUUCGGGUGUUAAACCCCUACGCGUAAUGAAAGUGAACGCAGGUGAGAGCUUCGGCGCAUCAUCGACCGAUCCUGAUGUUCUCGGAUGGAUUUGAGUAAGAGCAUACGGGGCCGGACCCGAAAGAAGGUGAACUAUGCCUGUAUAGGGUGAAGCCAGAGGAAACUCUGGUGGAGGCUCGCAGCGGUUCUGACGUGCAAAUCGAUCGUCAAAUAUGGGCAUGGGGGCGAAAGACUAAUCGAACCUUCUAGUAGCUGGUUUCCGCCGAAGUUUCCCUCAGGAUAGCAGUGUUGAACUCAGUUUUAUGAGGUAAAGCGAAUGAUUAGGGACUCGGGGG